GGUCUGAACUGCAUAUAUCUCUGUUGCAAGGGGCAGUGGCCUCAAGUUGCAUCUUGCCUAAUCAUCUGGAAGUAUUUUCUCCUAGGUUAUCCUAUUGCUGUCUAGGAUAAGCCUUUUGGAAGAACACUUAAAGUAGUUUUCAGAUAGCCUUCCCCUCAGCUGUGAAAGCUCGCACACAGUUACAAGUAUAGCCAGAUCAUUUGUCAUCGUCUGAAACCACUUCUAGGACUUUGAAAAAAUCUUCAACUCUUUUCCAAAACUACCUACCUCUUUGAGUCGUACAGCAUGUGCCACAUGUUAGUACAGAGGAGUUCUAGGAAUUCAUUUUUCAAACAAAUCUGGGCCAGAUCUAAGUAGGGGAGAUAAUUUCGCAUUGUAAGUACUUUGACUAGGAGGCAAGAAAAUUCAUUUAUUUUGUUGUUCUCGUGAAGUUCAGUUUAAUCUAAAAAAUUAAAAUUACUUUUUAAAAGGUGGAUCAUUAAGAUUCAGCAACAGUAAAAUAAAUAUUUUCUAUUAAUGCAUCUGGUAUUCUUUGCAGGACCAUAAUAUUCAGGAGAAAUGCAGUCUUUAUGACUCCAUAGAUCUCCGUAGGCUUUUGGGAAUCUUUUCUAUUCAGUUGCAGUUAUGAAGAGAACUGGAGCUAGAAAUGGAGCUGUAAAAUUGUGGUUUACCCCUGUCUUCAUUUUUGUCCUUUGUCUGUGUGGGUUCUCCAGCCUAUUGCAUCAAAGGAAACAUGAUGCAAAGUAUCUUGUAGUUACUGUGUGUCUUGUCCAGAAUGUCCUUUGCUCUGUAAUGUUGUCCUGUAUUCUUGUGUAUUUAACAAGAUUUUUAACAUUUUAUUGCAAAGAAAAAUUGUGUGUUGUGAUUAGCUCAAUGAAAAAGCUUGGGAAAGCUUUUUCCAUCACUUGUCACUUGGGAGAUUACUAGUUGUAGUACUAUCAAGUUCUUUCGUAUUCAUACUCACUAGAAGUAACUGUCAGUAGGAUAAUGGAUUAUUCUACCUGUUUCAUUUUGUCUUGAGGCAAAAUGGACUCACACAAAGCCAGUCCUAGUUUAUAAGCAGCCUUCCCUGUUCCUAUCACCUAAUUAGUUUUUCCUGGAAUUUCUGUAUGUGCUGGAAACAGAAUUUGUGACUCUUUGGGCUGACCUAUCUGUUUGC
Long non-coding RNA from Strigops habroptila (Kakapo), 1159 nucleotides. RefSeq lists it as uncharacterized. The record is from RefSeq and is a predicted model, not a curated record. NCBI's taxonomy places the organism in Eukaryota, Metazoa, Chordata, Aves, Psittaciformes, Psittacidae. The transcript has 2 exons.